UAUUAUACGUAUACUGUCACAUUAAUGAACUUCAGUAAGUAUGACGUCAUAAGGUUUCCGAGUCCAGACUGGAAGGUUUUGAAACACAAAACAGAACCACAAGACAAAAUGUGAAGACUAAACUUAAAGCACAGAAGAGAUUUUUAGAUACAUUUUACUAAUAUCACAUUUUAAUCUUUUCGCAUCAUCAUACCCCAGCAAUUUAAAAAAGCUUUAGGCCCUCCACUUGCUGUCUAUGUACACCCAGUUACAAUUAUGUCCAUUAGUUGCCUUAGCAACGGAGGCAGAGGUUAAGUCAUUUUCUAGAAGAGGCCCAGUGCAAAUUAUGGCAUUAUACCAACUUAUUGCCAAUCGUUUUAAUUAAAACAUUUCGCUUUCAACUCAGCUAACAGCAGAGAUCAGUAAACAGGGCAGAUCAAAUUACUGAUAUUUAAACUCCCCUGCCUUUGGAAAGGCCCGCUAAAGCUUAAUUACUCUUGGGCAGGACUGAUGAAGCGAGAGCAAGGAACCGCAACCAUUCAGGUCUGCGAUGCUGCACCCAGGCCCAGAACCAGCUCACUGCAACAAGCUAAGGUCUACAAAGAUGCCACCCUGGAAGAUGCCCACCUAGUGAACCUGCAUGGCACAGGCACAGACAGCAAGAUGGCAUUGACCCUUCAACAAAUGCAGUUGUUAGCUUUCUCCCUGCAGAGCCUCUGAGCUGCACUCCCGCAGAUGGCAGCUGUGAAAUGAAGCAGAGCCACCAUGGCCAUCAAGAAGACCCCUAACUGCAGUCCAUCAGCACUGCCCACACUUCUGAUCUGCUUGUGCAACUGGUCCCUUCCCCGUCUCUGCUAAGGUCAGUGCACUACCUUGGAGUAUUUAGCCUACCUCUGCUGACUCAGACAAUCUCGACGUGGAGCAUGCUCACCCAAGUGGGAGUUGGAGUGGCCCAAAGAGCAGGCUGGAGGAGAUCGCAUGAAGCGGGAGGCAGUCAGCAGGACGGCAGCGGGAAACUCACCCAGAGGGAAUUUCACAGUCGGACCAUGAAGUUUGCAUAAACCUUCUUUCACUUUUUAAUUCACCAGAUACAUGCUUUAAACUUUUUCUUUCAUCAAUAGAAGAUACCACAUGAUGACAAUUCACUGACUCAGCUUAAAUAAUAGGCACUCAGAGAUAACUAUUCAACAUGCACUGGAAAAAAUUUACAACCACAAUGAGAGAAAGCCAACUGACACGCCCAGCACAGAGUAAACCACUAGAAUUCUCUGCAAGCCCUUGGAAAGGGAGCUAAGAAGUGAGUUGUGCUAACUUCCUUUUUUACCCCCUGUAUGAACAAAGAAAAUAAAAAAACUUCAGACCUUCA
This 1345-nucleotide long non-coding RNA is filed under the name Anser brachyrhynchus (Pink-footed goose). RNAcentral's name for it is "lncRNA (ENSABRG00000002014.1)". The record is from RNAcentral. Lineage: Eukaryota; Metazoa; Chordata; Aves; Anseriformes; Anatidae.